GAUGAAGAACGUAGCGAAAUGCGAUAAGUAAUGUGAAUUGCAGAAUUCAGUGAAUCAUCGAAUCUUUGAACGCACAUUGCGCCCCCCAGUAUUCUGGCGGGCAUGCCUGUUCGAGCGUCAUUUCAACCAUCAAGCCCUGCUUGUGUUGGGGUCCUGCGGCUGCCCGCAGGCCCUGAAAACCAGUGGCGGGCUCGCUAGUCACACCGAGCGCAGUAGCACAUCUCGCUCAGGGCGUGCGGUGGGCUCCAGCCGUUAAAGCACCCACCUUUCGCAAGGUUGACCUCGGAUCAGGUAGGAAUACCCGCUGAACUUAAGCAUAUCAAUAAGCGGAGGA
This 334-nucleotide unclassified non-coding RNA is filed under the name soil metagenome. RNAcentral describes it as "partial contains 5.8S ribosomal RNA, internal transcribed spacer 2, and large subunit ribosomal RNA". The stretch from base 1 to 120 matches the Rfam family "5.8S ribosomal RNA", at positions 35 to 154 of the family's 154-position model. The record is from RNAcentral.